GAUCCUGGCUCAGGAUGAACGCUAGCUACAGGCUUAACACAUGCAAGUCGAGGGGAAACGACAUCGAAAGCUUGCUUUUGAUGGGCGUCGACCGGCGCACGGGUGAGUAACGCGUAUCCAACCUGCCCAUCACUUGGGGAAUAACCUUGCGAAAGUAAGACUAAUGCCCAAUGAUAUCCCACGAAGGCAUCCGAAUGGGAUUAAAGGUUUAUCGGUGAUGGAUGGGGAUGCGUCUGAUUAG
RNAcentral lists this ribosomal RNA (241 nucleotides) under uncultured bacterium. RNAcentral's name for it is "partial 16S ribosomal RNA". It matches the Rfam family "Bacterial small subunit ribosomal RNA", at positions 15 to 244 of the family's 1533-position model. The record is from RNAcentral.